This 33309-nucleotide long non-coding RNA is filed under the name Elaeis guineensis (African oil palm). RNAcentral's name for it is "long non-coding RNA (EGUI_LNC022297)". The stretch from base 10731 to 10804 matches the Rfam family "tRNA". The record is from RNAcentral. Lineage: Eukaryota; Viridiplantae; Streptophyta; Magnoliopsida; Arecales; Arecaceae.
AACUAAACCAUCAUAUUCUCCUCAUCAUGACCCUCCAAACAGCCACAACCAUAACGAUCGCAAGUCUCAAAAAGGACACUCCAGCAUUCUAGUUCUACCACAUUGCUAUGACACCUCCUGUGACCAUCCAGGAAGCUACUGGGCGCUACAUCAAAUCGCUUUUUUUCUUGCCUCUGCAAUUCUGGAGCUCAAUCUCAAGCCUUCAAUUCAUCUGGAGAGGUUUAUCAAUUACUUUUCUCCCACCUGUAUAAAUUGGAGGGUGGUGCCAAAAAAAGUAGCUGCAUUCCUACCGGCCUGCAUUACCAAAUAGGAGAAAGGUUUGAGUGAGCAAAUUAGAAGGGCGACAACCAACAAAGCUUUGACCUAUUUCAUGGAUGGAGCAACCAAAGCAGCACUGGCUUGCGUUUGCAACCAUCCACAAAAUCUGAAGUGGAGCUCUUCUUCUGCAAUGACAGAGACAGACAAGAUUGAGAAAUAUAGAUUCCAUGUUAAUCUUGCUUGAUUUCCCCCCAUCUACCUCUUUCGCUAUCUCUCUUGAUCAUGAUACUAGGCUUUCCAGGGUUAUUUCCCCCUAACUCUCUUUCCCUAAAAAAGCCUUUGAGCCCUUAUUUUAAGUGGAGGAGAAGACAAGCAUGGGCAACUCACACUGGGACUGUGUUAUGGGAUUCUACGAUAAAUCUUUCUGGUCCAUGGUUAAAUAUUUUGUUACCUGAUUCUCACGGAUGUAUUUACACUUGACUGGUUUAAUUUAUUUAAUUUACCAAAAAAAAAAAAGGACAAGCAUGCGGAACCCAACAAAUAUGGUUUCCUUGGGACCAAAAUAGAGAGCGCUUCCUUAAGGUGUGGAUUGGGGCCAUUUAGAAAUUUCUGAAGUUUUAAAACCUCAUGCAAUGGUCACAUAAGCCGUUUACUGAAACCCAGUCCAUGCCCGGUUGACGAAGAUGGACGGCAGCACCUCUUUGGAUCAAAGCAGUAACUUCGUGGGUGUCCUAGACUUCUUAAAGCAGAGGAGCUAAGUGCCAAUCAUGAAAACUAGAGGCAGGCAUACCAUAUUUUUCCCUGGAACUUUAUAUCAACUUGACCUAAAUCUAGUCCAUUGAUAUUCCUAUAAACUUAAGUCUAAUGCAUGCAAUGCAAGUGAAGGGCACUUUCAGGUGGCUACAAUCCCUCAACCUUUAUAAUUUAAUAAAUAUACUAGAUUUUUUUGACAGCCUCCCUUCUCCACCUCAAAUUAAGAAUAAACCUGAAAAAGGCAUAAUGAGAGACGAUACAGUAAAAUGGUGACAGAUGACCGCAAAACAUGAGCCUUGUAAUCUACAAGCAUACUUUCAACUAUUGUAAUGGUAACAACGAUGGUCUAAGCCCAAAAUCAACAAAACAAAUACUAUAUAUCAACUUACUAGAACCAUACAUCAGCUAGGUAACAGGGUAGAAGGAAGAACCUCCCUAACCACAAUUGCAACCAUAUAUCAACUCACUAGAACUCUGUCAGCUCAAAAUUACCGUAAGCACUCUAUUAAAACAGACAAUCCAUUGAUUCAAACAUUUUAUAAGUUCGCAAUGAUAUUAUCAGUCAUCAAUGUCCUCCGGUCCAUGCACCUUGAAAACUAGACAUCAUGGCUGACACCUUCCCCCACAGGCAAUUAGCCCCGGACAACUCCGAAGCAAGCAGGUUGACAGCCUCACCCCUAAAACCAAGCUCAUAUUUCAGACAUCUCUCAUAUCACGGCACAAAUUCUCACAAUCAUUUCAAACGUCACACCAAAGAUAUCCAGCCAGAAUAUAGAGUUUAUGCGCACAGACCAUGGUUAAACAUGCUUGAAUCAUAUGACUGAUGGAUAACAUUAACAUAUGCAGUAGGUCAGGUACUCGAGUCAAUAGAAUGCACAGCUUAGUCCAUUAAAUCUUGAGCAAAAGCUUAGGUCAUUAAAUCAAGAAGACAGGUCUAAAACUUUAUGGAGAAUAGAAAAGGUACUUGACCAAACUCUGUUCGAGAAGGUUUCCAUGUAUGCACAGCUAUGCCCGCUAAAGGUAGAAUCAAGAAACCCUCCGAAGCUAGGUACUAAUGAUAUAAUACAUUCUAUGCUAUCCUUUCUGCAGUAAUAAGUCAGUUUAAAUAUAAAUCCCCGAAUAACCCUCUUUUGGCAUCUGGCCAGUGUGUCAUGACAACAACAAUGCAGCUGCUCAGGGACCAUCUUUGGGCUCAUGAUCGUCAUUGGCUGCUGCUGCUGCUGCGGCCGUCACCCUGAACGAAGGGUACUCCUCACAAGGAAUCACCAAGUAUUGUGGACAACACAAGCUCCUGCACAAACUUGCUCCUUCGAGUUCUCUCCUCCUGAUCUUUCUUGGAUAGAGAUGGCACAACACUGGCAGUAAGACGACCAGAGGUUAGGCAAAUAAAUUGAAAAUAUCUUUGACAAGCACAUUGGGUAACAAGAAGCAUGAAAGAAAGAUCCUUUUUUGCCAGAGUCUAAGCAUGUGAUAAUUUAACAGUACGUAAUCGAUGUUUGAAUGUUUCCUAAACUCUCACUCUGCACUAUAAUGCAAAGCAACAGUUCCCAUUUUCCAAGUGCUCAGCAGAUUGAAAGGUCAAAAUGCUAAAUACACAUUAAAGGAUAUCUAGACCUUUGGAAAAAUCUUAGAUGCUCAACACUGGGUGAUGCAUCUCUCGCUGGUUUCUUUUGGCAACAGGAAGAAGGUUUUAUUCUUUUACCCCUUCUAAUAAUGCAUUGUGCAUGGAGCACAAGAAGGGGAGGGGGCAAGAUUAGAUGGAUAGGCAUGUUUGGCUAGCAAAUAAGAGGUAGCACUCCGAUACUCAUAAACUCAACCCUCAGAAAGAUUGUAUUUGGUCCCAGGUCUCAUUGGUUCACACUUUAGGCAUUUCAUUACAUCUGCACAUUCUGGUCGAGAACGCUCCUUGUCAAGGUUAAAGGCCAAGCGCUCGUUCUCCCUCAAACCCAAUCAGCGAUUUUGUGAUACAAAAAUAAGUCAUCUAUAUUUAAUGAUUAUACACUUGGCUUAGAGAAUUUGGUAGAAAUCAAAUGCCUAUGAUUCCAUCUUGAUAGGGUUACUGGGUUAAAAUUGAAUAAUCACAUAAGUAGCUUUAACUGAAAUAUGAAAGAAUGAGGACAGAGUAGCACAGCAGGCAGACUAGAGAAAAUUACAAAGAGCAAAGCCAUUUAAUAUAAUCAAAUGCCUACGAUUCCAUCUCCACUUUCGUUUGCAGCCUAGGGCAAUUGAGCACCCAACCCCCCCCCCCCACCCNNNNNNNNNNNNNNNNNNNNNNNNNNNNNNNNNNNNNNNNNNNNNNNNNNNNNNNNNNNNNNNNNNNNNNNNNNNNNNNNNNNNNNNNNNNNNNNNNNNNNNNNNNNNNNNNNNNNNNNNNNNNNNNNNNNNNNNNNNNNNNNNNNNNNNNNNNNNNNNNNNNNNNNNNNNNNNNNNNNNNNNNNNNNNNNNNNNNNNNNNNNNNNNNNNNNNNNNNNNNNNNNNNNNNNNNNNNNNNNNNNNNNNNNNNNNNNNNNNNNNNNNNNNNNNNNNNNNNNNNNNNNNNNNNNNNNNNNNNNNNNNNNNNNNNNNNNNNNNNNNNNNNNNNNNNNNNNNNNNNNNNNNNNNNNNNNNNNNNNNNNNNNNNNNNNNNNNNNNNNNNNNNNNNNNNNNNNNNNNNNNNNNNNNNNNNNNNNNNNNNNNNNNNNNNNNNNNNNNNNNNNNNNNNNNNNNNNNNNNNNNNNNNNNNNNNNNNNNNNNNNNNNNNNNNNNNNNNNNNNNNNNNNNNNNNNNNNNNNNNNNNNNNNNNNNNNNNGGAAAAAAACCCUCUUCUCUCCUCUCAAUCUGGUUCUCAUUCUCGAAGGUGAUCAAUGGUAGCCAGCACCACUCAUGGAAUUGAUCAAGCUGAGUUUCAUCUAUCUAUCUGUUUUAAAGGCUUGCCUCUAUUUCUCCCUCUCUACCUCAUUUUCUUUUCUUUUUUCUGAUGUUGUUAGACCGCAUAAGGAAUGGGUUUAGUCCAACUUGUUAAAACAGGGAUUUUCGGUCAGUCUUCUUUUCCUUUCUUCUCUUUACCUUUGCAGUCAGAGCUUAGGAUGCUCUAAUGAACAUCCAUGGUUGUGACACAGCGGUAUUUGUUUUGGAGAGAUUCAAAGACUUUGGGACCCCAAAAAUAUUUACCACCAUCAAAGUUAGCAGACUUGGAACUCGAAGAAGAUACAUGAUUAAACUUAAACUAUGAUGAUUGGAUCACAAUACAUAACUUGGAGUGCAGUGGAAAGAUCUGAUAAAUGAUUCCAUGGCAUACGUAGUUGGAAGAUUAUAAGUUUAAAUAGCAUAAGGUUAGACAUAACAUUUGUUGUAAGCAAGAUUCGUGGAUUUGGUACCGGAGCUCGUGUCGGCCAGCUGACGGUAUGGGUCAGUACAGGUCCAUAUCGUAUUGGGCCGGCGCGAACCAAAACAAAGAAAGGAAGGGAACCAGGAGGAGGCAAAGAGAGAGAGAAAGAGAAAUAGAGAGAGAAGAAGGAAGAAAGAAAAGGAGGGAGGGGAAGGCGUUGAAUGGGCCGUUGGAUGACCUCCAUCUGGCUGCCGUGGCCGUCGGAUAGCGCAUUCCACGUGCGCGGUGCCGCAGGUAUGAAACAGGAGCGACGUCCUUAUUUCACGAAAUUUUUUUUAAAAAUUCAGAAUUUAAGUAAAGCCGACAAACCACUUGCCGGUUUCACUGUUUUUGCUUUUUUUCAAAAAAAAACAAAAAAAUGAAGCCUGCAAUCCGAUUAUCGACUUUACUAUUUUUAAUUUUUUUUUAAAUCUCUUAAACAGUGAAGCCGGUAAAUAGUUUGCCAGCUUCACUAUUCAUCUCCAUUUUUAAAAAAGGGCCGACGCAUGAAUGGGCUGUCGCCCCUGUUCCGCAAUCGCGACUCCAUCCGCAGGGUUUUCGCCGUCCGCUAGCCACAGCAGCCGUUCGAAAACAUUCGACAGCCCCUCCACCAUCCCAUCCUCCCUCCAAUGAGUCACUCCCCCCUCUCUCUCUCGUUUAACAGUCCUAUCGGGUGAACCGAGCCGUCGAGGCUUUCGAGCCCCUCCAACGGCCGCAGUGGGCCACCGCCAGUCUCCGACGGCAUCCUCAUCUCUCUCCCUCUCCUCCUCUCUCUCUUCCUCUCUUUCCCUCUCUUUCUCCCUCGACGCUGGCGUGUGCCGCUUUCCAAACUGGAACCAUCCCGGUUCCUCGCCGAUCCGGUUCAACACGCCCCGAAUCAUCCGAUUCGAGAUAGUUCUGAAAACCUUGGUUGUAAGAUAGAGUAACCAGUUUAUGCACCUCAUAUCAGCAAUCAUUAGUUCUCAUACUUGAAAGGAGCUCAAACAAGGUAAAUCAUCUUAACGAUCCAUUGAUAAGACAUGAUCAACCUCUCCAAGAGGACCCCAUAAAAUUUUGUCUAGGAAGCCAGAAUCCAGAUAGAGUGCAUAGAAUCAAUACGAAGGAUGGCUCAAAUAAAUCUCAAAAAUUAUACAGCUGAAGACACAAAUGUAAGAGAUAUGUUUUGUGAUCAGUAGCCUGAUGAAGAAGCACCAUGAUAAUUAGGCAGCAAAUACAUUACAAGCAGCCCUGUGCUUCAUGGGUGUCCAUAAGCAAAUGAAAUCUUUUAGAUUGCCUUAGAUCCAAUAUUUUGGCCAAUUUAGUUGUGAUUGUAAUGCGCAAUUAUGCAUGAAUAGCCCCACUAGAACGGCACUUUGUGUUCUUUCUUGCUUUUCCCCCACCAUUUUUCUGCCCCCGCCUUUUUUUUUGGUGGUUUGGGUUGGGACGGGGGUGUGGAGGGAGGGUCAUCCACUUAAAGCAGAGGCCUCAAUGCAUCAUCUUUUGUUUUCUUUCUUCAAUGCAUCUAUAUCCCUGCUUCUCCUCCUUGAAUAUUUUCCUCCUUUACUUGUUAUAUCUUCCUUCCUAUUUCAUGUUUGUUUCAUCUAUCAAAGCCUUUUGACCUCAGUACAAAUUUUAAGACCUCUAGGCAUCUUUGAUCACAUCGAGAUUGGUGGACAAGAUCUUCAGUAUGACUAAAGUUCUGUGCACAAUAUUAGAUUUCCAUUACAAUUAAAAGAGAUGUAUCAUGCAUACAUGAAUCUGUGCAUGCACAGGCACAGAAAAAGCACUAGGUAAUUAGAUCCAAUUAAGCCAAAAAAGCUCCCUAAUUGGAUUAAAAAAUUACAACCAAACCAAAAAAAAAAAAACAAUUUACAAACCAAAAGAAUAUUUUCCACAUUCAGUUAAUAAAAGAAUAAUCAACACAAGAAAACCAAAAAACUAACUAAGGGACUUCUCAUUCAGAAGAAUGUCUGACUAAGUCAUAUUAAACUCAUUCAAAAGAAUACAAACCAUAGCAUUAGAUAGCAUUAGAUAAUAACAACACCUCCACUAAUAACAAGAGUCACCAGAAUUGACUACACUAGAAUGAGAGAUAUCAAUUUAUUUAACACAAGUUACAAUCUAAAUCAUCUCUCUAACUCAUCUAUUGAUAAUUUUGGCAUGCAUUACUAGAGACGAAGUUAAAAAUGUAACUUAACUAGACUCUAAAGCCAUCUGGAAAUAAGUCUAUUUCUCCCCAUAUAAAUCCAAUUUAUAGUGAUGAACACCCUAUGCCAUGUCCCCAUACAAGCAAAUGAUUCAUCAGGAAACAGUAGAAAGUAAUUCCAAAUCAUUUUUCUCGCCAUCUUGCAAAAACAACUUUUUCAGAGUAAUCAAGUGGAAGUCAGUGAAUCUUGAAAGAUUACCACCACCUUAUUGGAACUACAAUGGAAAUUAUCAUACAAUUAAUGAAAAAGAUAAUAUAAUUGAGAGAUUUUCAUACCUUUCUACUGCUUUCUCAUCUGAAGUUUUGUUAAUCACAGCUCGUUCAUUCAAGGAUUCAGGCUUUACAUCUUUUGAUGAAUCAGCCACAGGAAAGUUAAAAAUGAAGGAUGACAGCAAUGGAUCAGGUGCAGUAUUGGAGGGAGCAACUGUAUACGAAGACCCCCCAAAAAGAGAUUGUAGAUUCCCUUCUCGCAGAUCCUUUCUCCACAAAGAAAGUGUAGAAUGGGAACCUGAUGAACUUUUACGGAAUCUCCUCCUACGCUGCAUGUGAAUUAUUAUUAAGGAAUUCAAAGCCUACUGCUCAAUAUCAAACAUGAUAUUUGCACAAAAUGAACAAAAUAGGGUUUGGCGUACCAUAAACAACUACAGUGCAUAUAGAGACAAAAAUCUAAGAAGGAAAACAUAUUCAUUGCUACGCAUAAAAUAUAUGAUAUAAACAAAAAGAAGACAGGAUAUCUUAAAGAAAUUUGGGUGAUGCAUUGUUAUGUGUCCAACCAUGUCCAUCCCAACCCUAACUGCACAAACAGGACAUACCUGCAUGAAGAAACAGAAGCCAGUUCUAAGCAACAAUAAGCUUGAAUGCAAAUAUGUAGACUUUAAAACAUAAACAGGCAAUGAUACUGCAAGUGGUUAUUUCCGGACCAAUGAUAAACAAAAAAAUAGGAAAGAAGUUAAAAAAAGAUUUUCUCGCAAUUCCCCAAAGAAAAUAAAGAAAGCGGAACAGACAAAACAAGCUAAAAAUGUCAUAUUGACAUCAAACAUGCAAUCACUUUAAACCAAAACAACCUUUAAAAAACCACUAGAUCAUACUAAAAAAGUUCCACAAUUUUACUUGCAUUUCUAGCAUGUAAGAUAAAUUAAAAUUUGAUGUGAUUCCAUACCUGAAAAUUUACACACCAAAAUGCCCAUGUAAUAAAUCAAGCAUCUAUGACCUUUCAUGCGCAACCACUAAUAUCUGAUUUGAUGCAUAUUGAAGAAGGUGAUAAUUAUGUUUUUUUUUUUUUUUGCUCAAGCCAUAGAAUAAGAUCAAAUGGAAUUUCACUUGCUUAAACUAAUAGAACUGUGCCUUUUUUCACAUAGUAAACAACAUACAGAGUUAAGAUAUCCAAUGCUCGACAAAUAAUUCCAGGUUGUCCAGAUUUACUUCUGAGCACCUAAAUCAACUCAAAAAUGCAUACCAGGAGCAGAAAAAAAAUCAUCAAAUAAUUUUGGCAACACCAACAAAUACUUUACUGCAUUGGUAUUGAAAACUGGCAUGAAACACAUGCUACAUGCAUCCAAAAGCACUGUGUUCUAUAAAUCAUCAGUCAAAAUAGAGAUGGAUUCUUGUUUUCUCCAUCUUAUUUACUUCCUAUUAUAUCCCUUCAUCACAGCCAUCCACGCUUUUCAUGUGCAUGGCACAUGAUAAACAACAGAUGCCUAAUGGGUGUUUUAUAUAUUAGUAAGAUCUAAAAGCAAAAAGGCAAAACAGAAAAAAUAGCAUUUCAGUGACCAAAGCAAAGGGAACUUAGUUUUUCUUGAUCCAAGAAAAAUCAUGUAUUAGUCUUUUACCCAACCACGGUUCACUAAAUGCCAACACUCUUUAAUUUAUAGCAGCAAUCUACAAGAUCUAAUUAAUAACAUUCCAAUUUCUAGUCUAAGUUGUCCCACCUUGCUCAUCCAGCAAGCUCUAAAAGCACAAUGGACAUCCUAGACCAUUACUAACAACAUACCAACAAUGCCUGCUUGUCUAUACAACUCCAAGCCAAUUGUCAAAGAUGUGGAAAAAGAUGACAGGAUCUACCAUACAUGCAUAUUAAAUUUCGAACUAAGCAAGCAAACAAAAUCCACGUUUACAUGAUGUUAUACAAGACUAGACUUGAAUUCAUAUUUUACAUUAGAACGUAGGCAAAAAGGGAAAAAAAAAAAUCUGAAUCUCAUUAAUUCUAGAGUAAGAAGACCAAAAUCAUUAUAUGCCAGUAUCAUAAUGAAGGGGAACAUCAGAAUCUACUCGUACUGACAACAUAAAGAAUUGCUUUCACUGAACAGUGAAUUGCACUUCAGCAUACAAUGUACUCACAUGAGAAAUCCUAAAUAAUCAAUUUAUCACGUAUGAGUGACAACUAAAAAUAUUAAAACCAUUUAGAACUAACCAAUAAGCUAUGUGACAAAUUUUAGCAUCACUGAGUAAUGAGUGAAGAAAAGCACCAAAAAUCCAACUAUUAAAUAAAUGCAAACAAGAGAUUCAGAAUCAGAUAAGGGGGCAAAACCUUUAAAAAGAAAAAGGAUCUGUGGAGUGUAUACCCUCCUAAAUAUACGAAAUUCACAAUUGUUAUUUGCAUGGUACCCUUAUAAAUUUGUGUGUUGGUAUUUCUGUUAUUUUAAUUUUAAACUGUUCAUUUCUCAAAAGCAUUACAUAGCAUGGGUACAUAUGCAAGAAAGAAAGAAAGAGAGAGUAUAUAUGCAAAACAAGUAUUUUAUGAGGAUAUACAAUGCAAAUAGCAACUUUGCGAGGAUAUUUAUAUAAUUUGGCAUAUUUAGGAGGGUAUACCCUAAGAAAACCCAAAAAACUGAACGCUUACUAAAUACCAGCUUCAGACACUUAAAAAUCCACUUUUUCCUUAAACUUAACGUUCAUCCGAUCAAGAAGAUGUUUCAUAAUCCAACUUUUCCCAGAAAAAACCCCAGAAAGUUCCCAAGUUUUAUCAAAUAUUUACACUAAAAUCCCCCAACAACCCUCUUUUUCGCUUCAUACAUGAAAACACAAGCAGUUCUGGUGCAUCUUGAAUUCUCAAAAGGGUCAGAAACGAGACGAUACCCCAUUUUUCGCCUCAACCGGGUGCUCAUCGUCGAUAUGGCAGAACAACCCCACGAUAUCAAAAUCCUCCGAGCAGAACGGACACGGAAACUCUGCUCUGGAAUCCUCAUCCCCUCCAUCGAUCUCCUCAUACCCACGGUACAAAUCUACAAACCAAAACACCCAAUCAAACCCCACUCUGAAAAAAAAAAAAAAAAAGGAACUCCGAACCCAGACAAUCGACAACCAGAUACUCAAUACUCACCGAAUCGGGAUUGGAGGACGGACUGAUGGCGCUUCGAGGCGGUGAAGAAACGGCUCCAGCAAUCAGCCUCCAUGGCUUCCUCCUCCCUCCGGUGUCGCCCCAAUUCAAGCUUCUAGUCCCCUGGAGAGCGAGUAAAAGCCCUGGAGACCAAGCAAGACAGCACCGAUCCCUCGUACCCUCGUAUAAAAUUCCCGAGGGCAAUAUAUAAGAGAGAGAGAGAGAGAGUUGCGAUUCCCUUCGGUAGAAAAAGGGGCGAAAGAGCUCGGCAAUUGCUUCCUGGGAAAGGCAAGGAGAGAAGAAGACGAGAGAGAGAGAGAGAGGCCACCGACCAGAAGGAUGGAGCAUUUAGAAAUAGAAUAAUCAGUCCCGGACGUUCUCCGAAGGAGGGGAAUGCUACCAGAUGCGUACACGUGGCGAGAUCCGGAAUCGUGGUGAGGAAUGCUCGCGGAUGUUCAAUGGAUAGCUGAUCCAAAGGGUGUGAUUCAGUUGGGUCGGAGCCGAGCGGGAAACGGGCAGUUAAGAUAGUACGCAUAAAUUUUAUGGUUGUGUUUUUAUGCGGGGAUCGAGAUCGGAACGAGAUGCAUCUACUGAGCGGUUUAGAUCAAAUCGGACGGUAGAGUUUACUUUUGCAUAGAUAUUAUCCACGAUAGCCGGUUUGCAGGGCAGUUUAUCUAUGCUUAGAUACGAACCCGAAAAGGAAGCGCAAGGAACGUCCGGGAAACGAUAGAGUGUUGUUUUCUUUGGUCCGCAGAGGGUUCCCAUGUACGUGUUUUCUCCAAAGAUUCAUUGUUGCGUGGAUGUAUGUUUGUGACCUUACAUUUGUGCAUUUAUUCAAGGAUAUUAGCUCAUAGGGUAAUCCGUCCUCAGCUGCUUUCGUAGCUCAGUUGGUUAGAGCACCCGUUUAGUAAGCGGGAGGUCUUGAGUUCGACUCUCAACGAAAGCAUCACCUUGUUCCUUCUUUUCUUUUGGUUCCAUGUAAUGUAAAUCUGAUUUAAUUUUGGACAGAGUAAUGCAAAAAACUUUCGUGUUAUGUUUUUGGUAUCUAUCACUUAAUUUAUGUAUCUAUCACUUAAUUUAUUUAGAAACCAUCAUACAAGGGGGGGAUACAGACUUUUCCUAAUUAAUAAAUCCUUUUCCUCCGAUAGAGCUUUUCUUCACAAUUUUUAUAUCCUUGACGUUUAACCCAAGCAUGUAAAAUUCGUAUGUAGGUAGAUAUUCUAUUUUAACCUGGUUUGCUGCUUCCCAUUCAUUGUGACUGCUAAUUGUUGAUUAAGCCAUACUUGAUUGAUGAAUUCGUGUUGAAUUUUUAGCGAAGGAAAAGAAAUCCUUGGUGGACUAGAUUCAUUAUUAUCUCUAUUUUUGAGAAAAUUAUUUUCAUACCCCAUACUUAAUUUCUUCUAAUAAAAUGGAUAUAAAUAGGGGAAAAGGUGGUUGUGUGUGUGAGAGAGAGAGAGAGAGUAGAUUCCGUAGAUUUUGGGUCAAAUUUCUAUUUCUUGUAGAUAUAAUAUCGAGGGCCCCUGCCUCUGCCAUUGUGUUCAGGUUUCUUGUUUUUUUUUUUUNNNNNNNNNNNNNNNNNNNNNNNNNNNNNNNNNNNNNNNNNNNNNNNNNNNNNNNNNNNNNNNNNNNNNNNNNNNNNNNNNNNNNNNNNNNNNNNNNNNNNNNNNNNNNNNNNNNNNNNNAGGUAGAUUCCAUAUAUUUUGGGUCAAAUUUCUAUUUCUUGUAGAUAUAAUGUUCAAGGGCCCUGCUUCUGCCAUUCUGUUUAGGUUGCUUGUAACAAUUCGCCCUGUCAAGUUUAUUUGAACUUAAAGGGCAUUGCCCCACCUCCUCUCUCUCUCUCUCUCUCUCACAGACGCACAAUGUCCAAUGGAUUAACCUUCUAUGUAUGCACUGCCCCACCUCUCUCUUUCUUAUCUCCAACCAUGGCUGAAGGGUUUUCUUUCUAGCUUUGUUCUAACCAAGAAAAUACAUAUACAUACAUGUAUGUAUGUAUGUAUUUAUAGGAACAUGUGAACCUGUUGGACAAAUCUAACAGAGGGCUUGACUUUGAUAUGGAAGUGAUGGAUACAAUUUGAAAGUCAUGCAAGAUCUUAUGUGGGUAUUCAUUUCUAUAUGACUUCUUAGAGCUAGAAGGCUCCAUGUGGAUGUUCCUGUCUGUCCCUUCUAUGAGUGACCUUAACAUAAAGCCAUAUUCACACAGCAAGAACAGUAAGGACGGUAGACUGGAUACAAACCAAUUCAAUGUCUCUGUCCGAAUCGUCCAUCUACAAAUGUGCAAAUUGAAGACUUCAUAAUCAUAAACUGAGCUUUCAAUUUUAUAACAUUCACCAAUGGUCGGUUAAUUACCAAGAAUCUAAAAUAUGAAAUAACAAGAUCUUACUAGGAAUAAUACUUGAUCCACAUAGAUUAUAUACAAAAUUAAUAUUCUAGUUAUGGUCAAUAAAUAAACUCCCCCAAAGAGAAAGCCAAUAAGAGUCGUAUCAACAGUACUAAAAUUUCCAUGAUAAUAAAGCUAAUUUCUCAAUUUUUAGGGGUCAUUGUGGCAUGUAAGUGUAGAACUAUUUAACAAGUGAUGUUGUAAAGCAUUACUCAUUUUUUAAGACUUUUUUGUAGUAUAUUCCACAAAUCGUGCUUACAGAUAUUUGUGCUUUGUGUUUUUCGGUACAUCAAUAUUUGUGCUCUCUAGAGGACAUAAAGCAGUGGUUGUAAUUCAAAAAUGCCAGUAGAAUUUGCCUCUAGGUUCAGACAAGUUUUCUUAUCCUCCAAUGUGCAUCUCCUAUGCAGAUUACUUUUAAGCAUUUGGGCUGGGUUAUCCAUCAAACUUCUCAGAGCUAUAGAGCUUUGCCAAAAAUCUCAUAUAUAACAGUAAAGCAAGGCUGUAAAGAAGCAUAGUACAAUAAUGGGCUACUACAUUAAAAGAGCCGUUAAUGUGCAAAAAAAUGUUGGAGUUUAAGAAACGUAACAGCUCUUUACUGUGAGAUCUUUGAACCGGAUCACAGGGAAAAAAUUGUUUCUAAGAAUCAUCAAUGUAUGAAUUUGAGAACUUGAAUAAAGGAGCUAAAGAGCUUCUUGAACGGCAACUCCCACUAAUUAAGUCAUGGAUACUGUUUUUUCUUGUAAUUAGGAUAUUUUUGGAGUAUAAUGGAUUGCUUCUUCACCAUGGUUGCAACUAAUCCUCAUUUCAAACUAAGAACCUGUACGAUAGGUUCAUCCAAAGGCCACUACUUCACAUCAAAAUAGCCUACUAACCACCUAGCAUUUUACGUGCAAGAGCUGGAAGUGGACUUGUUCACUCAGGCAAAGGCCCAUCUAGAUCCAAUUUUAUGGUGCAAGAGACAUUCAAAUAUUCUUGUAUGUGCAUGAGCCUUUAAUUAUCCUGGUCUUAAUAAGUACCAAAAAUGAGUCCUCACCAUCAUCCUGUCCCAAUAAGGAAUAGGAUUAUGCCAAUUUGCACAUCAAACAGGCACAAUCAAACUGCACAUUGUCAAGCAUGAGCAGUGCAUCAGUGUUGUAGAUAAUUCGGUCGAGCAAUAUAAAAAUUUAUCACGACAACAUGUAGCCCUAUACCAUAGAGUUUCACUCCAAGCAAAGAGCUCACAAAUGAGCAUCAUGAGAAAUGUGACCAAGUCAGAUGUGACAAAGUUGCUUCUUAAAUUAGACCUUGAUUAGGAGUGGUGAUGCAACAUAUGAAGUGCACUUUAAAGCAUUGACAAAACUCUUGAACUCGUAGCUCGUGAAAUGGUACUGAUGAUUUCUUUCUCUGUGAAAUAUAGUUUCAAGACCUCUAUUAAGUCUUUGGUGUGGUGAUCACAAAACACCAUCAAAGCAAUAUCUGAAAUUUUUCCGAUUAUGUCUUUAGUUGGUCAAACCAACAUGCUAACUUUGCAUACUCUUUACUAAGUUUGCUGACCGACAAGCAAUAGAAUUUGUUUCAUAGUGAACAUGAGAAACCUUGACUGGCAGGUAUUACCAUACUAGUUAGGAACUGGUAGUUGGUGGUACUUUGUACUUAUAUCUUAGUAGCUUCCAUUCCAUCAUUCUUCAAAACUCAAUCUAAUCUUGGGUAAUGGAGGAAAGUUGGCUAGUUUUUACAAUGUAUUAUGCGGUAUAGUUCCCAAAAAUAGGAACUUUAAUUAGUUAGUUGUUUAUUUGGUUUCAAAUUUUCUCUAAGUGACAUGUAUUUUAACUUGUAAAGGCCGCACAGAAGAUUUUGAACCGAUAUCGCAUCUUUAGACAUUAACAAUUCUAAUAAUCCAAGUUGAUAAUUCUCUUUCUAAAAAAUAUUUUGCCAUUAAAGAUAAGUAAGCAUGAACCAUCUUUUUUUAUCUUUUUUUAUGUAGUUUUUUUUUUAGGUCUUGGAUCCAUCCAACCAAGCCCAGUCCCUCGUAGGCAAGAUUCAAAAUUCUAGAAAAUCAGAACAUUUUAUGAAUUGUUGGAACUCUUCUACAACUUCUUCUGUUAUGCAAGACAUACAUGCAACAUAAACCCUAGCCCUCAUGAUUGCCCUUUAUUGCCCGCGUCUAAAUUUAAAAUUUCAAUAAAUGUAGUUACCGUUGCCAGCAUUCCACAGCCGUUGGAUUCCCAUCCGAUGGACCGUCCGGACUAGUCGACCGUUGGGUUUCGAACUCCUCGUCGCUGCCCUUUUCGCUGCCAGGAGGUCAAAUCCGACCGUUAGGAGAUGACAAUUUGAAUCCCAUCUUCUCCCUAACGGUUCCAAACUUUCAAAAGCUUCUCAGGAUCUCUAACCUCUCUCCUCUCAUCCUUGAGGCUUUCUUGGCAUCUGGGUCCCCAUCCAUUUGUUCAAAUAUCUCGUUUCGUCUGUUCUUCCGAUUGUCCAAAAACUUCCUUGGAUUCUAGCCUUCCCUUAUAUUCUUUUCCCCAUCUAGAAUUUGUGUUAUCUUGCUUGAUUCCUGAGGAACGCACCGAAGGAAGAGGGAGGAGGACAGAGGUUGCCAAAAGAAAUGGCUCGGAGGGCUUCAUCUCCCGCUUCGCCGGUGACCAUAAUGGUCUCUUCUGGAGGAAAGGGAGCAGGGGAUGGGGCUGUCAGGAGGAGCAUGGGCUUGACAAGUCCAGUCCCACGCCAUUCCCUCUCCAACAACCCAAAUUCUCCAGCGGCCGCAAGGCCGACCAGCCAGGUAUCGAGCGGCGGUGGUGCGAGGUACUUUUCCACAUCCAAGGAUGAGAUCGAAGAGGUGAGCUCUGAAUUCGUCCGGUACACGGUCCACAUACCCCCAACACCCGACCACCCUGUGGCCCCGCCAUCGGAGUCUCAACCUCAAAGGAGUUAUAUCUCUGGCACCAUCUUUACCGGUGGGUUCAAUUGCGUGACCCGCGGUCAUGUCAUGGAGUGCUCAGCCGAUAGCCCCCCGACGGCGAAGUCUGAAGGAAUGCUGUGCAAGAUGAAGGGCUGCGACGGUGCCGCAUUUCUACAUGGCUCAAAGUUGCCGUGUGAGUGUGGCUUUGUGAUCUGCAAGGACUGCUAUUUGGAGUGCAUUGGGAGUGGAGGGCAGUGUCCAGGGUGCAAGGAGACCUACAGAAGUUUGAGCGAUGAGGACUCGGGGUCAGAGGCCGAGGAGCAAGCCCUACCGCUGACAUCGAUGGUGGAUUUCAGAGGGGGAAGAAGGCUUUCGAUGAUAAAAUCAACCAAAGCCCCAAAUCAGCCAGCUGAUUUUGACCAUAACCGCUGGCUUUUUGAGACAAAAGGGACAUAUGGGUAUGGGAAUGCUGUCUGGCCCAAGGAUGGGCAUGGUGGUGGAGCAGGAUUCAAGGGGUUCGAAGAGCCACCCAACUUUGGAGUAAGAAGUCGGAGGCCAUUGACGAGGAAGGUUGGGGUAUCUCAAGCAAUUCUCAGCCCAUACAGGUAAAAACCUUAGUUUUAAAGCAGAUUUUGUGAUUAAAAUUAGCUGUUACUUUUGAACUGUUCUGCUUUAAAUAAAUGGAAUAGGAAUUGUUAGUUGAAUUGAAUAUUUCGUCUUUCUUGAAUGCAUUAUUUCAUGUCAUAUGUGGGUUAUUCUAAUUAGGCAGUGGAAAUCAUUCUUUCGUAAGAAACUGUUGUAAUGUGUUCCUAUAUUUGAUGGACAGCAUCAACUUGGUGAAAAUUUGAAGGAUUAACUAUAACCUGAUACCUAAUAUAACCUAAUUUGUCUGAUUAAAUUGAGUUGCUCUGUAACUCAACCCAGAUGCAACAGCUGGUGUUUGAGAAUAUACAGCAUCAACUUAAAGAGAAUAAAAGGAGGUGAUAAUGGGGCUUAUAUUUUUAUAUUCCACGUAACCUUGCUGUAGAUUAACCUGGGAGACACUCGUUGUCGGUCAAAUUUCUGAGAACCCGGAUCUAUUAAUAAUCCUGUUGAAUCUUUAUACUUUGCUACGGUGUAUUUGGGCUUAAUGAUGAGCUCUGUCAUGAUUUAGUGCCUUGCUAUGAGGAUUUUCGGGAGCAAAGACCACUCAUCGUUUCUUGCUUUCAUCAGAAAGCCAUUCUUUAAUCCUAUAUAUAUUUUUGGGAAGGAAACAUUGUAAGCUUAUUAUAAAUAAGCUGAUUCCUAUUUCUUCGGUCAUAAUAUAAUAGAAUUUUCCACUGUAUUCAAGUGUCCGAAAAGUUUGCUCUUUUAUCCUACUACGUUCUACUUGUUACUUCUUUGGAUCCUCCAGUACAUUCUCAAAAGAAAUUGCCGUGGUUUUCUAUUCUUAUCCUCUUUCAAAAUUAUAUGCAUUUAUCAUAUGUAUGCUGUUAGUUUGGAGUGCCAUACAAACUUCAAGUAUCCAUUUAGUUGUUAAUUUCUUAUACAUUCUCUUGCAAUGCAAACAAGAAGAAAGAUAUCUUUGAUACCAUCUGAAAUGUUGUUGUUUUGAAAAAUGAGCUAACCUUUUUAGAACUUUCAACUUUCUCAGGUUGCUGAUGAUUAUUCGCCUUAUCGCCCUUGGCUUCUUUCUCGCUUGGAGGGUUCGACAUCCUAACCAUGAAGCAAUGUGGCUCUGGGGAAUGUCCGUAGCCUGCGAGCUUUGGUUUGCAUUCUCAUGGCUUCUUGACCAAUUCCCCAAGCUCAGCCCUGUUAACAGAGCAACAGACCUCUCCGUUCUGAAAGAGCGCUUUGAAUCGCCGAGCGUUCGGAACCCCAAAGGUCGAUCUGAUCUACCAGGUAUUGAUGUAUUUGUCUCCACUGCAGACCCAGAAAAAGAACCCCCUCUUGUCACUGCGAACACCAUCCUCUCCAUUCUUGCAGUAGAUUACCCUGUUGAGAAGCUAGCUUGCUACCUAUCCGAUGAUGGAGGAUCGCUUCUGACCUUCGAGGCUCUAGCUGAGACUGCAAGCUUUGCAAGGAUUUGGGUCCCCUUCUGCCGAAAACAUGACAUAGAGCCAAGAAAUCCGGAUGCCUAUUUCAGUCAGAAGCGCGACCCUCUUAAGAACAAAGUCCGGCUAGAUUUUGUUAGAGAGAGGAGGAAGGUUAAAAGAGAGUAUGAUGAAUUCAAGGUGAGGAUAAAUUCUUUGCCUGAAUCCAUUAGGAGGAGAUCCGAUGCAUACAAUGCCCAUGACGAGUUACGGGCUAAGAAGAAGCAGGAGGAAAUGGGGAGCAACCUUUCUGAACCUAUUAAGGUUGUGAAAGCUACUUGGAUGUCUGAUGGGUCACAUUGGCCUGGGACUUGGUUCUCUCCUGAAACUGAUCAUUCUAGAGGUGAUCAUGCUGGUAUAAUUCAGGUAUCCUCUCUCUUCUUGUUACUUUUAAUUGAGUAAAAUAUCAUUCUAUUGAGUUUUGCAUGCAUAGAGAAACUGAAAAUCAAAGUAUUAAGGGAUCUUACUUCAUGUUAUCUUUCACAGGCAAUGCUCGCUCCUCCGAACUCGGAACCAGUCAUGGGCACCGAGGCAAAUGAGCAUAAUCUCAUUGAUACUACUGGUGUGGACAUCAGACUGCCAAUGCUAGUCUACGUCUCUCGCGAGAAACGGCCUGGAUAUGAUCACAACAAAAAGGCUGGUGCUAUGAAUGCUCUCGUUAGAACCAGUGGUAUAAUGUCGAAUGGCCCCUUCAUUCUGAAUCUGGACUGUGAUCACUACAUCCACAAUUCCUUGGCUCUCAGAGAAGGGAUGUGCUUCAUGCUUGAUAGAGGUGGUGACAGGAUAUGUUAUGUUCAAUUCCCUCAGAGGUUUGAAGGGAUUGAUCCAAGCGACAGGUAUGCAAACCACAACUUGGUGUUUUUUGACGUCACCAUGAGGGCCAUGGAUGGAUUGCAGGGUCCGAUGUACGUUGGAACUGGCUGUAUCUUUCGGAGAACUGCUCUUUAUGGAUUUAGUCCUCCUCGUGCCACCGAACACCAUGGGUGGUUUGGAAGGAAGAAGAUUAAGCUUUUUCUAAGGAAACCAACAAUGGGGAAGAAGAGCGACCGAGAGAAUGAAAUCAUGCAGCCACCUGUAGGGGAUGAAGGGAAUGACGAAGGGGACAUUGAAUCAUCACUCCUGCCUAAGAGGUUUGGGAACUCAGCUACUUUAGUAGCUUCCAUCCCAGUUGCAGAGUACCAAGGAAGACUACUUCAAGACCUGCCUGGCGUUCGACAAGGCCGCCCUGCAGGUUCUCUUGCCGUCCCUCGAGAGCCAUUGGAUGCUGCAACUGUUGCUGAGGCAAUCAAUGUUAUAUCCUGCUACUAUGAAGACAAAACUGAAUGGGGUCAGCGAGUAGGGUGGAUUUAUGGCUCUGUGACUGAAGAUGUGGUGACUGGUUAUCGGAUGCACAACAGAGGUUGGCGGUCGGUCUACUGCGUCACCAAGCGGGAUGCCUUCAGAGGGACAGCCCCCAUCAAUCUGACAGACCGUCUGCACCAAGUCCUCCGGUGGGCUACAGGUUCUGUCGAGAUCUUCUUCUCUCGAAACAAUGCGCUCUUUGCCACAAGGAGGAUGAAGCUCUUGCAGAGGGUGGCCUAUUUCAAUGUGGGAAUGUAUCCCUUCACAUCGAUCUUUCUACUGGUAUACUGCAUCCUACCAGCUGUUUCUCUCUUCUCAGGCCAAUUCAUAGUUCAAACUCUAAGCAUAACUUUUCUGAUAUUCCUGCUGGCCAUUACUAUAACACUCUGCUUGCUUGCAUUGCUGGAGAUAAAAUGGUCUGGGAUAACAUUGCAUGAGUGGUGGAGGAAUGAGCAGUUCUGGUUGAUUGGAGGGACUAGUGCUCACCCAGCAGCAGUGCUACAAGGGUUGCUGAAGGUUAUUGCCGGAGUUGAUAUUUCUUUUACUCUAACAUCAAAGUCUGCAACCGAUGACAAUGACGAGGUGUAUGCGGAGCUCUACGAGGUCAAGUGGAGCUUCCUGAUGGUUCCCCCAAUCACAAUUAUGAUGAUCAACAUGAUAGCUAUCGCAGUAGGGGUGGCAAGGACGAUGUACAGUGAAUUCCCUCAGUGGAGCAAGCUCCUUGGAGGGGUGUUCUUUAGCUUCUGGGUGCUGUGCCAUCUUUACCCAUUUGCUAAAGGGUUGAUGGGAAGGAGGGGAAAGGUGCCAACAAUUGUGUUCAUGUGGUCGGGCCUGCUCUCGAUCGUCAUCUCUUUGCUUUGGGUGUACAUUAGCCCUCCUAAAGGAAGUGGGAAGGACUACAUGAACUUCCAGUUCCCAUGAGGAGAACAGAAGGCAGCAGGAGAAUUCAUUAAAUUGUUCCAAAUCCAUGAAAGGACCAUGUAUACUUCAUUGCUCAAGUCCCAUCCCGAGUAGAAGUUUUACAUAUAUACAUGAUGAUCUAGUUCAUGUAAUGUUGCUCAUACUUCUUUGUGUAUCUUGUUAGUUUCUAUUAAUUUUCUUCUUGGUUUGUUUCAAAUGUCUUAAAAUUUUUGUUCUUCUAUGAUGGAAUUUUUAAGCAUCUUGAAAAUGAAAACUAUGCAGUGUCCAUUUUCCUUGUGUUUGAUUAAUUCAUCUUCUUGAAAUUAGUUGGCAUGAGUGACAAGUUUGAAUAGGCCAUGAAAAGAAGAUUUCUGGAUGCAUGAAGUUGCUCAGUUGGAUGGUGCCAAGUUGGGACCUCAAAUCACACAAUUCUGUGAACAGCACCUCUUCUGGUGAUUUUGAUAAUGUGUAGCUCCCGUGUCCAACAUCCCACCUUUCAAGCCUUGCAGCUGAGUUGUUUAUCCUACAAAAGCCUAUGAACACUGUUCUCAAUGAUCUGCAUGUUGCCAAGAUGUUGGGUGGUCACGGUGUCCUUGUGAUAUCUCCUGCGUUGUAGGAAUCGACUGAGCACAAGGGAUUGGAAAAGGGCCAUCGUCCUCACAAUCCCAUGACUUCAUUUGGGCGACAUGCAUAACUGCAGUUCAUACCAGAAGUAAUACAUCUGUCAUUCAGAGUGUGAGAGUUGGUGGUGUCCUCUAUGCAGAUCCUUCAUGACUUGCCUUUUACUUAAUCAAACAAAUAUCAUUUAGAUCGACACUUCAUUUAUUGUGUGUCUUGUUAUUAAUCUAAUUCAUGCUUUCCUGAGAGUGCCAUGAUCUUCGAAGUGCAAAUCCACAGCAGUGUUUGCUGUGAUGUCGUGUGGUUCGCAUUAAUCCACUUAUAUUGUGCAUCAAGUUCACAUUCAUAAAUUUCUACAUGGCAUCAAGCACAAAUUCAUAUAAUUCCGCAUUGCAUCAAGUAAAUCCAAGAUGAUGCACAAUUGCACAACUUGAAGAGUGGCAAAUGAGAUGCUCAUAUAAAAAUAUGACCAUCGAACCGUCCCAAACCAAGCUAAGUGGUUACCAGGGCAGUUCAACUUGUCGAUCUUCCUCUCUCUCUCUCUCUCUCUCACUCUCUUAAUUUUUUUUAAUAAAAGUCUCUCCACCUUCACUUGGUGUGAGAGAAAUUCUUGGAUAAAUUUAGCCUGCUAGAUAAAGCCAAUGAAAAAUGCCACAUUAGUAUUUUGUAUUUAAGAAUUUUAUAAUCACAUCAAUACAUCAUUGUUUAACCUUGUAACCAUCUUAAUAUAUUAUUGUUUAACCACUCAAUACACCGUUGUAUGCUAUUGUGGCAUUUUUUCGUUGGAUUUGUCUAUAGCAUAUGUAGUAAACCAAGUCUACCUAAAAAUUUCUCCAGGCUCUCGAUCCCUUCCCCCCCUUCCCUCCACCAUCGCGGCCACCAUCUAGUCUCCACCACCUCCAACCCGGUGUUCCCCUUAGAUUGGCACCUCUGUCAGAUUAGGUGAGUCCCCUUUUUCUCUCCUCCCUCUCUCUCCUUCUCUUUGGUUUCCUUAUGUAUUGGGUUGGCACAGUAUGUACUGCUAUCAUGCUAAACCAUUCCUCGGCUAGUAAAAUCUAGGAUACUAGUUUACUAAAGUUUUUGUACAACGAAGGGAGAGAAUAAGAGAGAAGAGAAGAUGUUCCAUCAUGUCCUCCGCAUUAUCCCAUUGCUCUAAAAUGCUCUCUUCCGAGCAACAACAUUUUCUGCCUUUCUAAAGAGCAAAAAAAUUGAUCGCAUCUUCCGAACUCCCUCGAUCAUGGCAUCCUCACUUUUUCGUUCUCCUUUUUACGUAACAAACCACAAGAAUAGAUACAGAAAUAAAAGAAACUCAUGAAUGGGUAUUGCAUUUUGUUACCACCAGUCCCUCCAUUCCCCAGCGAAUCUAUAUAUUUUGGGUCAUGACAAAACCAUCGAUGGGAAGUAUCUCAACAACCCCAAGUUCAAGUAAGAAAUUGCUACUCACUCUUCAUCUUCACCUAGCUCAAUUUUGUCAUCAUUAUCAUUUUUUUUUAAUUUCUCUUAUUUAUUUCAUCCCAUCAUUGGUAGAUUCUUCAUGCAUGGGAAACUUCGUAUUUAAGGAUUGUAGUUUAAAUUCGGCGGGCUUGCUUCUUUGUUCCAUAACACGGAUUUUUGAAUCCCGAAAAGAGGUGACAAGACAAAUCUAGUAGAAGUACGAAAGUUCAGAUAUUAAAAUAAGAGAGAUUAUUUCCCCAAGCCAAAAGGGGUCGAUCGAAGGCGUUCUUACAAAUAUAUACAAUUAAUGAAAAUGCAGCGUAAAUCUUUCCCCAAGCCAAAAAAAAAAAAAAACUCUCUAAAACUUUUGAACCCCCGUUUUCAAGGGAUAAAAAAAUUUUAGAAAAAUGAAAAUAAAGUCGGAAGAACAACAGGACGAGGACGCGAUUGAUGCAUUCGAGCAACGUUCUUCGCACCGAAGUGCUUCUUGGCCCUUGGCGCUCCUCCGCUACCACCUCUCACCCGUGACCAAACGACCCGGUUUAUCACUCGCAUGCAGGAAUCCUUGAUCCGAAUCGCCAUCCCCCGGCACUGCCCCCCGCCUCCCAACUUCACCCACCGGUAUUUUCUCUUCCGGUUUCGUUGUUGGAAAUGCGGGCCGUUGGAGCCCUUAUCGGCACCCCUCGCCCGCCAGUACCCCUGUAGGCCUCCUCUUCCCCUGCCAACGCCGCCACCGCCACCGGUUCGGACCUCCAUCUCGCCAGUGGACUACUCCUCACGUCCGAGGUGGUGGUAGCAGAGAUAGGGAGAGAUGGAGUGGCAUGCAACCGGAUUGGAGGGAAGGGAGAGUAUUUAUAGGGGGAGGAAGAAGGGGAUUCCCUCCCCCCCCCCUCCUUUUUUUCAGGGAGUUGCCAUUUAUUCUUUUCCAUGCAAUGUUGGCCUCUCCUUUGUUCCCUCAUUAUUUGCAGGUACACUUUCCACUUCUUUAUGAACUUUCUAAUGUCAUUAUAAUGGUCAAUAAUAAUCUUUCAAAGUUUUCUUGUUAUGUACAUGAUGUGCAAAUUGGUGGAGAAUUUUUUCCAUAAUGUGUGGUCCAUAGGUACCUAUAGUUUCUGUCAUAGUUACUUUAUUUUCUAUUUUGGUCAAAAUAAAAGGCCAUGAAUUAGAAUAUCUAUUUGCCAUAAAAGUGUCUUUGUAGAUAAAUUUGCCCUAUUUAAUGUUUAAAAGGAAUUGUUUCAAAAAUGCUAUGUGUUUAUAACAAAUUGUCGAAAAUCAAAUCUCAAUAGUAAGAGGGAGUUCUUCCAACUAUGGAUAAUCAUAUAAUGACAAUACAAAGUUAUAAAAUGACAAAAUAAAGAAACGUAAUUGCAACCAUGAUAAAAAGUUAAUCAAAUUUCGCAUCAAACAUAGUACUCUUUCAAGAAUGGAAAAAUGCUAUGAUUGGAAGGUGAUUUAGCUUGUUUCCAGCAAUAUUGUCUCAGCAUUAUGUUAUUGAGAGGAGAUGAAUCGCAAAUGCAAUCGAUUGUGAGCCACCCAUUGCUAAUAGAAGUGAAUAUCAAAUUUCAGUUUAUGGUAUCGGACAUAAUGCCUGAACCUUCUAUUUUUUUCACGACUCCAAUUUUCUUUUCAAUACCAUGACCCACAGAAUAUGCCUCUAUUUUUUUGUUUUCCUCUUAGGAAUGCAGGAUUUAGUUUGAUUGUAUACAUCGUAAAUUUCUUUUUUUUUUUUCUUUUGUUUCUAGAAAUAGAAAAAUAGUAUUGGGAUAAAGAAAUUAGAAGUUUGCUGCAUUUUUAUUAUUUUUAAUAGAAACAGCUUCCAAAAUUUGGAAGUUCCAAAAAUCAGCUUUUGGGGAAAAAAAAGGCAACACAAUAAAACAGGCACAUUUGUAUUAGAUUGUUGCGUCUAUGUAUGAGUACCUGGCUUAUAGAGAUAAUGAGUUCCAUAUCAGGUUAUCUCUAGAGUUGAUCUUUCUUUUAUUUUUACAAUCUAUUAGAGUGAUCAAUUGCCCAAAUACUAAACAAAAAAAUGAUUUAAUUCCAUUUUGAAAUAAAGUUUGUGAAUAAAGCUAAUUGUGGGCAGAAAUUGGAUGCACCAGCUCCAAGUGAACCGGGGAAAUCUUGGAGCACAUGCAUGCCAAAUAGCUUGCAAUCGAGAAUCGGUAAAAUACAAUGGUUAACGUGGCUUGUUAUCCAACCUGGGAUUUGGCAUGGUCCAAUUACAGCUGAUGCACAUGAUAUGUAGAUCAUUUUUUUUGAAGGGAUGGAAAAUAGCAUAAUUUUUUUUCAAAAAUAAGUGGUGGACAUGAGAAUAAGUAUUAAUCAAAUGGAUCAAAAAAAUAUAAUCAAUUUUUAUAUGAGAAAUGGGCUCAAAUCCAAAUUAAAUCACUUUAAAUAUUGUGUUCAGUCUGAUUCAAAUCUCUAAUAGAUAAUACAUAGAGAUAUUACUAAAAUCCGAUAAUGCUAAUUUCAUCCAACAAGAUGAAAAUGCCUCAAUUAACUCUAUGGGCCAGUGCUAAUAUAAAUACAAGACACCUCUACAUGAGCCAUAUUAAAAUUGUGAAGAUGAAUCUAACUAAGCUUAAGUAAGGAUAUAUCUUAUCCUUAUGAAUAUAACUAUGUAACUUAAUUGUAAAUGAACCAUAAAAUUAAAGAGAAUAUAAAAAUUUUAUUUUUGUCAAUUCUUGUAUCUUUUUCUCUUUUCCUAAUUGGAUCAUAGGAUUCCUUUAGCAAAAAGUUAGAUGCCUCAUUUGCUCUAUAUCUUAUAUAAAUCUAUGUUAUGAUAGUGGAUUAAAUGUCAUAAUUUUUUCUAUAGAGGUAGAAUAUAAUUUUUCAUAUAGUGGAUUAAAAAUUACACUAUAGAGGUAAAAUAUAUUUUUUUAUUUUNNNNNNNNNNNNNNNNNNNNNNNNNNNNNNNNNNNNNNNNNNNNNNNNNNNNNNNNNNNNNNNNNNNNNNNNNNNNNNNNNNNNNNNNNNNNNNNNNNNNNNNNNNNNNNNNNNNNNNNNNNNNNNNNNNNNNNNNNNNNNNNNNNNNNNNNNNNNNNNNNNNNNNNNNNNNNNNNNNNNNNNNNNNNNNNNNNNNNNNNNNNNNNNNNNNNNNNNNNNNNNNNNNNNNNNNNNNNNNNNNNNNNNNNNNNNNNNNNNNNAUCAUUAGAAUAUCGUCAUAAAAGAUCAUUUCGAUCCGGCAGCCCUAGGUAUGUCGAUUAUUAAAAUUUGAUUUUGACGGUCACGAGCGAUCAUGUGAUGAUCUGAUAGAUAGAGACCAUCGAUGGAUCCAAAAACUUGCAACGAUGAUCUCGAUGAUAUUUGUAUUACACUAUCAAAAUUUUACUUCAAUCAGACAACAUUAUCAUGAUCAAUUUAGCACGGGAUAAUUAGAGCUGUUAAAUAAAAAAUGAGUAAUCAAAAGAUCAAACGGCAUCUGAUUAUAGGAUAAUUUUUUAGAUAAAUGAUCUUUGCUAUUACUUUGAUCAUUUGAUGAUCGUAAAAUUCAAACCGUGCAUAUAUAAAUGAUUCAAAACUAUAUGUCUCUUGAUUCUCAUUUUUAAAGUCUUUAAGUAAUUAUACUUAUACUUUUGUAAGAUUUGCUUAACAUGAAUGAUCCAUAUAUGUGCAGUUUGAAUUUUAUGAUUAUCAUCAUACAAAUGAUCAAAGUAGUAGUAAAGAUCAUUUAUCUAAAAAAUCAUCUUAAUUGAAUGUCGUUUAGUCUUUUGAUCACUCAUUUUUUAUUUAACGACAGAAAUCAUUCCGUAUUAAUUGAUCAUGAUAAUGAUAUCCGAUUAAAAUAAAAUUUUUAUAGUAUACUACAAAUAUUACUAACAUUGUUGUAAUCUAUCGAUGGUCUCUAUCUUUUAGAUCAUCACAUAGUCAUUCAUGACCGUCGAAAUUAAAUUUUAUUGAUCGACAUAGUUAGAGCUAACGGAUUGAGGUGAUCUUCUGUAACAAUACUCUAACGAUAAUUAUUUAGAUAAUGAACGGUGAAGAUGGACAUUAAAUUCUAAAAUUAUACUAUAAAGAUNNNNNNNNNNNNNNNNNNNNCUAACGGUAUGAGGUGAUCUUCUGUAACAAUACUCUAACGAUAAUUAUUUAGAUAAUGAACGGUGAAGAUGGACAUUAAAUUCUAAAAUUAUACUAUAAAGAUAAUUUUUUUCUAUUUUUCUCUGAAUAUAAUAUAAUUUUAGAAUUUAAAGCUCAUGUUCACCGUUCAUUAUCUAAAUAAUUAUCGUUAGAGCAUCGUCACAAAAGAUCGCCUCGAUCCGAUAGCCCUAGGUAUAUCGAUCAUUAAAAUUUGAUUUUGAUGGCCACGAACGGCCGUGUGAUGAUCCUCAUUUGCUUUGUGUUUUAUAUGAAUGCAUGUUAUGAUAGUAGGUUAAAUGCCUCAAUUUUUCAUAUCGUCACUAUUAUGUCGUCACUAAUACUCUCAAUUCUUAUAGUGCCUACAAGUCACAUUUGCUUGAUACUAAAUUUCAAUAUCACUUAAAGAUUUCUAAGGAAAAAUUUUUCUUUAAUAUAAUUUUUUUAAUUUAAAAAAAUCUUAACAGCACCAAGGGAUUCAUCCCUUAGUAAAUCUUUAAGGGAUAACUUUUCUUACAAAUCUCUCGAUGAAAAUUAUUGAAGUAAUCACUUACUGAUCCCUUGCAAACUACCGAGACAUUUCUAAGGGAUUUACUGAGGGCAAUAAAUCCUCGCAACUCGCUUAAAGAUUUCUCAAUGAAACUAGAUUUUGAAAGCAACUUAACAUCCCUUGAAAAUUCCUUUCUAAUCCCUCAGUGAUUUUCUGAGGGAUAGAUCCCUUGAUGAUAUCUCUCGCUAAAAGGCUGAUUUUUGAUAGUGAAAAUUGUGUUCAUAUCCAUCCAAUGAUCUUUUUAAUAUAACUUUAGUAUGACUUUAUUUAUUUGAUAAUUAAAUAUGAAUAGUAUUUGACAAAUAAUUGAUAAAGUUAUGAAGAAUAAUUCAAAUGAGGAUUAUGGUGGAUAUUGGGCCUCCUCAAAGCAGUGGCUAAUCUAGAAUUAAAAGUUCUGAUAUGGUUUUGACCAAAUUGGAUGGUAAGGAAGAAAUUUGCAGCCAAAAAGUAUUAAAAAAGAAAUUUGCAACUAAAAGGCUUGCUUGCCUUAACUAUGAAAAUAUACUUAUAUACACUUUGUAUGAGAUCAACAUCCCUACAUCAAAAGGAUCAUCAAAGAAAUGAUAUGAUUCAUAUAAUAAAAGUAUCUAUAAAUAUAUAUAUAUAGUUAGCAAAAUUAGGAAAUGAUUUCCAUCACAUGCGAUUGGUCAUGUCCACCAAAUCUAGUUAUAUGGUUGGCUGAGGAAAUCAAAGAAUGAUUUUCAUGAUAUAUGAUUAUGUAGCUACGUAUCUCUAUCUAAUUUGGUGCCAAAAGAAUCAUGGUAUGAUUUCUAUUAUAGCUAUCAAGAUCUAUCUAAUCUAAUGCCAAGAGAAUCAAAAUUUGAUUCCCAUCACUCUCCCUCAAAUUAGUGUGUGGAGGUCUAUAAUGCCCAACUUGCCAACAACAAGAUGGAAUACUUCUUUACUAGGGGUGAAAGUAGUUUGGAUAUUAUCCGUCCGAAUCUAUUUUCGUAUCCGAAUAAUCCAGAUAUAGAUAAAAUUUAAGGAUCUGACUAAUAUCUGUAUCUGUAUUCAAAUAUCUAAAUUAAAAUAUAAUUCUAUAUAAUUUUAUAUAGUAUUUACUGAUUUUUAAGAAAAAAUACAAUCAUAUAAAUAUAUUAUUAAUUUGAUUCAUCAUUUAUUUAGUAAUAUCUUUGAUUCUGUUGUUAUAAAGUUAGAUUAUCUAAGUUAUAUCUGUAAUUAUAUCCAUACUUUCAGUAUCCGUAUCCGUUUAAAAUAAAUAUGGAUAUGAAUUUUUGCAUUUGAAUAAUAUUUGUAUCUAUAUUUGUAUUCAUCAGAAAAAAUAAUAUGGAUAUGGAUAUAGUGGUAUCCGAACCAUAUCCGAUCCAGUUUCAACCCUAUUCUCUAUCGAAGACUUUGGUGAAAACAUGGGCUAACUGGUGAGUGAAAAUAAACUUCGUAUGGAGUAGGUUACGCUGAAUUUUCUCAUGGAUGAAAUGACAAUUCAAUUUGAUGUACUUCAUGCAUUUAUAGAAUAUGAGAUCGGCAGCAAUAUAAAAAGCAGUUUUAUCAUUGUAGUAUAAUAGAAUAGAUGUAGAAUACGUGAAACCUAGAUCAUAGGGCAAGUAUUUUAAUCAUUGCAUCUUAUAGGCCCUUGUAACCAUGGCACAAUACUCACUUUAGCCAAGGAGUGUGAGACGAUAACUUAUUUCUUUAUCUUCUAAGAAAUAGUAGAACAAUUAAGAAAAAUAUAAAAUUCAGUAAUAAGUCAUCGAGUCAUGGGCAGCUGGCCCAGCCUAAAUCAUAAUGAGCUAUGAGAUGGAGAGAGCUAGAAGAAAAAAGAAGAAUGCCUUAGCCAUGGGUGUCUUGAAAAUAGCAAAGCAAGCAAAAGGCGGCAUCAAGGUAAGAUUUGCAAUGUUAAUGUAUAAAUUAACUAAGAAUAUGGACUAAGUAAAAAAUAUCAAGCCGAAUAACCAUAAGGUAUAUGAGAAGGCCAAUGAGGCAGUGGUAUGAAGAAAGAUCAUCAAGCGACUAGCCAUCAAAGUCUAUGAGCUUUAGAUGUUGCUCCAUAGGAGUCUUAACAGUUCCGACACUCAAAAGAUCCAUAUCUUUUAGAAUUUCUAAAGUAUAUUUUCAUUGUGAAAGAUAGAUGCCUUUAGAAGAUUGACUAAUCUUCAUGCCCAAAAAAUAUUAAAAGGUCCUAAUGUUGGGUUUGGCAUCUCGAAUUCGAUCCACAGCCAAGAAGCCACCCAAGAUAGAGAAGCCCAGCAGACCAAGCCUGCAAAUGCAAGCGCGCAGGCCUGCAGACCUAUAGGCUCAAGUUGUGGGGGCCCAGGCCCACUGGCACCCAUGGCUCGCAGGCGCAUAGCGGGCCUGCAGCGUGCGUGGCCAGCAGUGUGCAACCCAGCAUGUCGCACGGUCCACCUAGGAGACCACUUCACUUGGUCCACGCACAAGAAUACACAAUCCGAUGGCUGAGGAUGCGAUCAUGAGCUAUUUUGCACCAUCGAAUGGCCAGGAACAUGUGCAGGGGCGAUCCAAUGGCCAAAAUGAGUUUUUUGAGUCCCAACAGGAGAUUGGAUUCGAUUAGGACUCAAUUUGGGCUCUUUAAAAGCGGCAGACAGGCUGGAAAGAGCGUGUAGCGGCUUGUAGUGGCCAAAGAGCCUUCUUGAGGAUUUUUGAGGGUUUUUUGAGAGUUUUUUGUAAGAAUUUUUUGUGCCUCUUGUUGAGAGAGAGAUUGAUGUAUGAGGAUUGAGAGGGUUUGAUCUCCUCUUGUAUUUAUUCUUUCUUUCAUAGUAAAGUUUGCAUGUCCUGUGGCGGUAAGAUUUAGGCGGAUCUACAUAUUUGAUUGUGUCUUUGUAUACUUCUCUUCUUUCUUCCUAUUGCGGUAUCGACAUCGUCACCAACAAUUACGAUCUUGGGUGGGGGAUCCAUAUUCCACACUCGUGAGGGAUCCUUCCCAACAAGUGAUAUCAAAGCACUCGAUUGCCCAGGUUGUGACGGUAUUGAUCGAGGUUGAAGAAGAUGGAGAAAACAGGCUCAAUCAAGAUAGAGAUCAAUCGGUAUGAUAGGAAGAGCAAUUUCUCCCUAUGAUAGUAAGGAUGAAGGAUGUGCUCAUCCAACAAAAGUUGAUUAAUACUCUCUUAUGCAAGGAGAAACAGACUACCAUGGAGGAGAAAGAUUGGAGGUAGCUCCGGAUGCAGGCGAUAAGUACUAUCCACUUGUACUUGAUAGAUGAUGUGGUGAUUCAUAUGCUUAGUGAAACUUCUCCGAUGGCGAUAUAGAUGAAGCUCGGAGAGAUGUACAUGGCGAAGUUACUUAUCAACACUCUCUUCUUUUAGAAGUAGUUCUACCAACUGUAGAUGAGCAUGGAAUAGAGUGUGUAGGAGUAUCUCAGCAACUUUCAGAAGAUCCUCACUGAUCUCCCCUCAAUGUUAGCAAGAAGGUUGAGAAGAAGAUCAGGACAUUGGUUUUGCUUUCAUCGCUUUUCUCUUCUUUUGAGUUUUUGAUGACUGCUCUUCUUAUGGAGAAAAAUACCAUCAAGAUAGAUGAGGUCACUUCUGUAUUUCUCCAAAAUGAGGUUCUCAAACGGAAGAAUCGAGCUUCGAGUUUAGAUGAUGACUCAACUAUGGUGAUGACCGAAAGAGGUGGUAGCAGAGGAUGAAGGGGCAGAGGAUUGCAAAGUAGGUGGUCCAAAUCCAAGUCAAGGGACUACAGCAAGAUUCAAUGUUACAGGUGUAAUGAGUUGAGACAUCGAGUUAGAGAUUGUCCAUAGCUCAAAAAUCGGACGAAGGCUACUAUAAAGGCAGUCCAAGGUAGUGAUAUAGAAGAAAGUGAUGAUGUUUUUCUGGUGUUUGAUAAGAUAUCUACUUCUUUCACACAGUAAAUUUUACAUUCUGCAUGUUUGUAUCAUAUUUGUUGCAGAGAGAAGCUAUUUGUCUCCCUAAAAAGCAAUGAGAGCACUAUUCAUUUGUCAGAUGGAUCGAGCUAUGCGAUCAAGGAUAUUAAGACUGUCAGUGUACAGACUUAUGAUGGAGCAGUGAAGAAAUUGGAUGAAGUCCGAUACAUACCAAGCUUCAGGAGUAAUCUGAUUUUAUUAAGCUAAUGACAGAAUCCUAAAAGUUUUGCACAUCAGUAGGGUUGUGUUGAAGGAAAAGAGAUAUUAAAAAUAUUAUCUCUUGGCAGGGAGCUCAGUACGAGGUGAAACUUCAGGAGCCAGUGGGAGCUUAGAAUGAGGUAGAGCUCUAGGUACAGAUAGUUGGGCACAAGAUAAAAAACUCAGGAGGAUGACAUGUGACAUCACAGGGUGAAGUUUCUAUUAUCGCGAGAAGCUGCCCCGAGCAGAUCUCAGAUCAGAUAGAUCACAGCAUAUGACAAAGAUGAGAUCGAGCGACCUAGCUCGACUCAUGUUUGUCCAUCUAUAAGCAGCCAGACAUUUAUCCUAAGGCAUGAGGACGAGAUCAUCUAAAAGCUCUCAAAGUUAUGUGGAGGCUGAAUAUCGAGUUGAAGUGAAGAUUAUUGGAUUUUGAUGCAUCAAAUUCGAUCCACAGCAGAGAAGUCCAAGAUGGAGAAGCACAGCAGAUCAGGCCCACAAGCACAGGCCGUAGGGUCGGCCUAUGGGCGUGCAGGCCUGCCAGCACACACGGCCAGUAGGUGCAUGGGCGCCUGCAAUGCGAAUGGCCCAGAGUAGAGACUAUGGCAUGCGUGGCCCAUAGCACAGUGCCCAGCAUGUCGCAUGGUCCAGGAGAUCGCUUCACACAGUCCAUGUGUGGGAAUGCACAAUCCGACAGCUGAGGGCACGAUCGUGAGCUAUUUUACGUGAUCGAAUGAUCAGGAAUGCAUGCAGGGGUGAUCAAACGGCUGCAAGGAGUUUUUUGAGUCCCAACAAGAGACUGGAUUCAACUAGAACUUGAUUUGGGCCCUUUAAAAAGAGCAGACGGGCUAGGAAGAGCGUGUAGUGGCUUGUAGUGACUAGAGAGCUUUCUUGAGGAUUUUUUGAGAGCCUUUUGUGAGAGUUUUUUGUGCUUUUUGUUGAAAGAGAUAUUGAUAUAUGAGGGUUGAAAGGGUUUGAUCUCUUCUUGUAUUUAUUUUUUUUCUAUAGUGAAGCUUGCAUAGUCCAUAAAAGUAAGCUUUGGAUUGAUCCAUGUAUUUGUUUGUUUUUAUAUAUCUCUCUUCUUCCUUCCUGUUGUGACAUCGACAUCGACACCAGCAAUUGCCAUCUUAGAUGGAGAAUCUAUAUUCCGCACUCGUGAGAGAUCCUUCCCAAUAUCCAAAUCUUUAAUGUAAAAUUUGGAGAGGAGAUAGACUUAAGAGUAUCAAUAACCAUAGUAUUAUUACCGAUUAAGAUAAUAUCAUCAAUAUGAGCUAUAAUGAAGAGUUGGGAAUUACCUCAAAUAUAAAAGAAAAUGAAAUAAUCAGCAUAAGAUUGAAUGAAGCCAACAUCAAGCAAGGCUUGAGAGAACUUCUGAAACUAAUUUCUGCCAGCUUGUUUGAGACCACCAAUGACUUGUUCAUUUUACAAACUUGAUUCUCUCCCAGGUGAGAUAAAUUGAUGGAAUUUUUACAUGGACUACUUCGGAGAGUUUCCAUAUAAGAAUAUAUUAUUAACAUCAAAUUGAUGAAGAUUCCAAUCAUGAAUAAUGACAAUAGCAAGCAAGCAACUAACUAUGAUAAUUGUUACAAUUGGGGCAAAAGUCUUAUGGUAGUCAAUGCCUUUCUACUAUAUAAACCCCUUAGCCACAAGCCUGAUCGUAUAUCGCUCUACAGCACCAUUAGAUUUGUAUUUGACCUUAUACAUCUAUUUGCACCCCAUAGAUUAUUUUCCUAGAGAAAGAGGUAAUAGUAUCUAGACACUAUUUGCCUCAAGGACAUAAAUUUUUUUCUUCAUAGCCUCUCGAUAUUGAGGAGAUUUAAGAGCCUGCAAAAAGUUCUAGGUUCAGGAAUAAAAUUAAAAAUAACUAGAAAAGCAUGAUAAGAGGAGGUAAACUUAUCAUAUAUCAAAUAGUUGGAGAAUGGAAAAGAUAUAACUUAGGAUGAAAACACCGAAAAUGAGGAUCGUUGGUGUCAGAGUUUAGAGGUGGUAGCAGUGGAGCAGUAAUAAUCCUUUAGAUAUGUAGGUCACUUGGUCAGCUGAAUAAAAUGAUAUAGGGGUUGGUUUAAUGUCACUAGAUGAUGUAGGAGGUGAUUUGGAGAAGAUGAUAGGUAUGAGGUUAAUGGGCAUAGGUGCAGUAGAGGAAAACUCAUGGUUAGAGGAUGAAAUCAUACUGUUAUGUAGAAUAGUGGAGUAGAUAGGAGGUACUGGUACAGAUAAAGUAGGGUCAAGGAAAAAAAUAUUUGCAGGAGCAGGUCGGACUGGGUUAGGAAAAAGAGAACUUAGUGGAAUAUAUUGGAAAAAAAAAUAUUUUUAAAGAAAUAGAUAUUUCUACUUGUGAAUAUUUAUUUUGUUUAGAUAUGAUAUAUCUGAUAGCAUUUUUGUCUAAAAGAAUAACCUAUAAAAAUAUCAGGAAUAGCAUGAGCUUCAGAUUUAUGGUUCGUAUGGAUGUUACAGGCAAAACAUAGAUAACCAAAAAUCCUAUAGUGAGCAUAACUAAGUCGAGUACUAAACAAACUUUUAUAUAAAGAACGGUUGGACUAAAUUAGAGAGGGAAUGCGAUUAACCAAGUAAAUUGCUGUAAGAACGUAAAUGCCUUAAAAAUCAAAAGGAAGGUGGACCUAACAUUGCAAUACACGGGUAAUUCAAGUCAAAGUGUAUAUUUGCAUUCACCAACCUCACUUUGUUGGGGUAUCCCAACACAAUUAUAUUCAUAAAUGAUGUCCUCAAGGCGUCGAAAAUGUAAAGUUCAUGAUGGAAAAAUUCAGAGCCAUGAUCAAUUUUGUUCAUUUAAUAUAGGCGUUAUGCUGGAUUUUAACAAAUGAGGUGAAAGUUUAGAUAUAAUAUUGAUAUUGAGAUUUAUAUUGCAUUAAAUGCAUAUGUCGGCCUAAUUUGGUAUCGAGAGGAUUAAGAUAUGAUUUUCAUUAUAGCUGCCCAUAUUUGCUUAUGUGCCGACAAAAUCAAGAUAUGAUUCCCAUCAUUGGUAAAUGAUGAUAAUGUGAUUGGAAAAAUAGUUUUGAAGAAAAAAGUUUGACUAUUUAGCAUAAUUCAAAAGGUUACAAGGUGGUGGGUUAGUGAAUUAUAUAUAACUCUGCAAACUAAGUCGAACCUUUUCCUUUUUUUUUUUUUUUUNUUUUUUUNUUUUUUUUUUUUUUUUUUUAUUUUUUAUUUUUUACUUUU